GCCUCUGUGGCUCAGUGGUAGAGCAGCUCAUUCGUAACGAGCAGAUCGUCGGUUCAAUCCCGACCAGGGGCUCCA
RNAcentral lists this transfer RNA (75 nucleotides) under actinobacterium SCGC AAA044-D11. RNAcentral describes it as "tRNA-Thr". It matches the Rfam family "tRNA". From Rfam's summary of the family: Transfer RNA (tRNA) molecules are approximately 80 nucleotides in length. Their secondary structure includes four short double-helical elements and three loops (D, anti-codon, and T loops). Lineage: Bacteria; Bacillati; Actinomycetota; Actinomycetes. RNAcentral also lists the same sequence under 5 other names. The record is from RNAcentral.